GACACCUUUGUGUGUUUUUGUUUAACUUGUGGACAGAGACUUAUAGACGGGUGCAAAUUCUCUUUUGCAACCCAGAACUAAUUGUUCAGUAUGAGUUUUGAUACAUGUAAGCAGGAAUAUU
Molecule: small nucleolar RNA, 121 nt
Organism: Sciurus carolinensis (gray squirrel)
Lineage: Eukaryota; Metazoa; Chordata; Mammalia; Rodentia; Sciuridae
Product: small nucleolar RNA SNORA40
Exons: 1
Source: RefSeq, a predicted model, not a curated record